GUCACUAAAUGUUUCACUUUCACUUCAUUACACCGACGAGUUCUGUUGAGUUUCAGUCUGCCGCUAAACACAACACGCUGCGCUCGUAAAAAGUGAAGUUCUGCGGGCUCCUUUCUUUGAACGCCUGGACGUUCUGCUAGAAAACCUGGAAACACAAGCAGAAUUGCAACCCAAACACUCCAAGCAAAUGAAGAAACUGCUUAAUGCUAUUCUUUAUUUUCUGCUGCUCAUGGCUGUUGACUGCUGGCCUUUUGAUGAAGUGUUGGUUGAAGUCCAUAUGGAGCCCCAGGACGAGCAGAAGGAGGAUGAAGUGGCAGAGAUUCGGUCUCUUCACCUUUGGUGUCUGAUGUGUGCGCUGCUUUAAUCCCAUUGUGGUCCACAUUGCAUACCAGCCCUUGGGAAACAUGCUUGUGGGUGUCCGGUGGAUGGACAUGUGGAGUGGUCCAGAGCAAGCACCGCUUGUGUUACAUAAAUGGCAGCGAUCCUCACUUAAAAUAGCAUGUGUUCAGUUAGACUUGGAGGAGCACUUGAUCCUGAUGCGCGCGCCUCUAUAUCAAAAAAUCGCUCCUCUGUGUCCAGUGGUGUGUUUGUGUGUUAAGUGUUUAAUUCCGGAUUACGCGCAGCUUGAGUUUCUAUAAUGGCAUCCUGCUAGUGACGGCGCUCAGCAUCAUAUGGAUUGACUGGUUCUAGCUUUGUAAACAUUUAACAUGGCCCUCUAAUGCGUCUGAAUUGUGUACCUUUUCUAACUGGUUAUAACCAGGAGGAGGUCAGUACACUGUGUUUUGGUUUGUAUUUAUAAGUUCAAUGAUCAAAAAAGGGUUCUGUAUCAAAAAAAUAAAGCAUUUGCUUUUGGGGAGAGAGGGAAACACAUUAUUGUCAAAAGGCAUCCAGUUUACA
Molecule: long non-coding RNA, 897 nt
Organism: Polypterus senegalus (gray bichir)
Lineage: Eukaryota; Metazoa; Chordata; Cladistia; Polypteriformes; Polypteridae
Exons: 3
Source: RefSeq, a predicted model, not a curated record